AAGUAAGCCUUAGUAUUUCUUCGUAAUGUUGUUAUUCUCAGUGUUUCCCUUAGCUUUGUAGUCACAUUUAAUAAUUCAAGCUCUAAGCGCAUCGCAUUAUGCGAUUUUUUAUGAAUUUAAAUAUAUAAGGGACAUCACAUGUCUAAAACAACUGGUAUCGUUAAAUGGUUUAACGAAGAGAAAGGUUUCGGUUUUAUCACUCAAGAUAACGGCGGCGCUGACGUAUUCGUACAUUUCCGUGCUAUCGCUUCAGAGGGUUUCAAAACUCUUGCUGAAGGCCAAAAAGUUUCUUUUGAAGUUGAGCAAGGCCAAAAAGGCCCACAAGCUGCGAACGUUGUAGCUGCUUAAUUUCAAAUAAGUUGCGC
RNAcentral lists this small RNA (365 nucleotides) under Aliivibrio salmonicida. RNAcentral's name for it is "cspA thermoregulator". It matches the Rfam family "cspA thermoregulator". The record is from RNAcentral. Lineage: Bacteria; Pseudomonadati; Pseudomonadota; Gammaproteobacteria; Vibrionales; Vibrionaceae.